GACGAACGCUGGCGGCGUGCUUAACACAUGCAAGUCGAACGGAAAGGCCCCUUUGGGGGUACUCGAGUGGCGAACGGGUGAGUAACACGUGAGUAACCUGCCCUUGACUUCGGGAUAACUUCAGGAAACUGGGGCUAAUACCGGAUAGGAAUCCUUGCUGCAUGGUGGGGGUUGGAAAGCUUCGGCGGUUUUGGCUGGACUCGCGGCUUAUCAGCUUGUUGGUGGGGUAGUGGCUUACCAAGGCUUUGACGGGUAGCCGGCCUGGGAGGGCGACCGGCCACAUUGGGACUGAGAUACGGCCCAGACUCCUACGGGAGGCAGCGGUGGGGAAUAUUGCACAAUGGGCGGGAGCCUGAUGCAGCAACGCCGCGUGCGGGAUGACGGCCUUCGGGUUGUAAACCGCUUUCAGCAGGGGCGAAGCUUGUGGUGACGGUACCUGCAGAAGAAGCACCGGCUAACUACGUG
Molecule: ribosomal RNA, 465 nt
Filed under: uncultured bacterium
Lineage: Bacteria
Description: partial 16S ribosomal RNA
Rfam family: Bacterial small subunit ribosomal RNA
Source: RNAcentral